GGAUGGAUGUUUGAGUGGUUGAAAGAGUUGGUCUUAAAAACUAAAGUAUUAAUAGAAAUACCAUAGUUCGAACCCCCCUCCAUCCA
RNAcentral lists this transfer RNA (86 nucleotides) under Vitis vinifera (wine grape). It matches the Rfam family "tRNA". From Rfam's summary of the family: Transfer RNA (tRNA) molecules are approximately 80 nucleotides in length. The record is from Rfam by way of RNAcentral. Lineage: Eukaryota; Viridiplantae; Streptophyta; Magnoliopsida; Vitales; Vitaceae.